Molecule: ribosomal RNA, 492 nt
Filed under: uncultured bacterium
Lineage: Bacteria
Description: partial 16S ribosomal RNA
Rfam family: Bacterial small subunit ribosomal RNA
Source: RNAcentral
GAUGAACGCUAGCUACAGGCUUAACACAUGCAAGUCGAGGGGAAACGGCAUUGAGUGCUUGCACUCUUUGGACGUCGACCGGCGCACGGGUGAGUAACGCGUAUCCAACCUUCCCAUUACUGUGGGAUAACCUGCCGAAAGGCAGACUAAUACCGCAUAGUCUUCGAUGACGGCAUCAGAUUUGAAGUAAAGAUUUAUCGGUAAUGGAUGGGGAUGCGUCUGAUUAGCUUGUUGGCGGGGUAACGGCCCACCAAGGCGACGAUCAGUAGGGGUUCUGAGAGGAAGGUCCCCCACAUGGGAACUGAGACACGGACCAAACUCCUACGGGAGGCAGCAGUGAGGAAGAUAGUGCAAGGGACGGAAGUCUGAACCAGCCAAGUAGCGUGCAGGAUGACGGCCCUAUGGGUUGUAAACUGCUUUUGUAUGGGGAUAAAGUUAGGGACGUGUCCCUAUUUGCAGGUACCAUACGAAUAAGGACCGGCUAAUUCCGUG